UUUAACAACGGAGAGUUUGAUCCUGGCUCAGGAUGAACGCUAGCGGCAGGCUUAACACAUGCAAGUCGAACGGCAGCGGGGGAGGAGCUUGCUCCUCCUGCCGGCGAG
Molecule: ribosomal RNA, 108 nt
Filed under: Bacteroides sp.
Lineage: Bacteria; Pseudomonadati; Bacteroidota; Bacteroidia; Bacteroidales; Bacteroidaceae
Description: partial 16S ribosomal RNA
Rfam family: Bacterial small subunit ribosomal RNA
Source: RNAcentral